RNAcentral lists this transfer RNA (72 nucleotides) under Sphaerodactylus townsendi. RNAcentral describes it as "tRNA-Ala". The record is from RNAcentral. Lineage: Eukaryota; Metazoa; Chordata; Lepidosauria; Squamata; Sphaerodactylidae.
GGGGCUGUGGCUCAGUGGAAGAGCCUCUGCUUGGCAUUCCAAAGGUCCCAGGUUCAAUUCCCAACAACCCCA